AUACGGAGGGUGCAAGCGUUGUUCGGAAUUAUUGGGCGUAAAGCGCGUGUAGGCGGUUUGAUUAGUCUGAUGUGAAAGCCCUGGGCUCAACCCAGGAAGUGCAUUGGAAACUGUCAGACUUGAAUACGGGAGAGGGUAGUGGAAUUCCUAGUGUAGGAGUGAAAUCCGUAGAUAUUAGGAGGAACACCGGUGGCGAAGGCGGCUACCUGGACCGAUAUUGACGCUGAGACGCGAAAGCGAGGGUAGC
Molecule: ribosomal RNA, 247 nt
Filed under: uncultured bacterium
Lineage: Bacteria
Description: partial 16S ribosomal RNA
Rfam family: Bacterial small subunit ribosomal RNA
Source: RNAcentral